GUCUCCAGAGUGACGAGGCGCGAACGAAGACCCGGAGCCCGGAUUCAGGAGUCACAGAGCGAGGCUGGAGAGAGACCGCGGCUGGCCAAACGAGGAGGGGAGAGGCUGGGCCACCCUUCGUCCUUGCGCUGGCAUUCCGAGGACUUCCGGCAAACACCACUCCCCAGCCCUGACGGUGGCCACAAGCCGCUGCUUGAAAACACCCCUGGGGAUUCAUUCUCAGCUUUCCAGAAAAGGUGAAAAAGACCAGGCACACAUCUCUUGCCCACAGGGCACUCAGGCUGCUUGAGUCUCCCCUGCAUCCACGCACUGAGCAUUCAUGUGAUGGAACAUCAGUCCUGGCUGUCUGCCUGUGAGGACACAGCAGGGUAACCAGGGAGAGGCGUGGAACAGGACGUGCGUUCUGGAGGUCUGCACAGUCGGAGAGAGCCGUGAGAAAGGAUGGCCACAUUUAUUGAGCGCCUACCAUGAUCUGUGUAUUUCUUGUGCAUCCACCUCACUUAAUCUACCCCUUGGGAAUGGAGGACGUUAGGGUCCUCAAUUUACAGACAGAUUAAAUAAAAACUUGUUCAAGGUCAAGUAGCUCCUAGGUGCUUUUGAGCCUAGGUUAGCCUGACUCCUCAUCCCACUAAGCAAGAACCAUACUUGUGCCCCGCCCAGGGGCUGGUAUGUGGUGGGUGCCUAGUGCUGGUUGAAUGAAUGAGUGGGUGAUAAAUGACUUCUGCUGGGGUCAUCAGGAGGCCUUCUCAAGGAAGUGGCACUGAGGCUGGGCUUGGGGAACAGCAGGAAUUCUCUGGGCAAAAAAGGUGGAAGGAUAUCUUAGUGAGGAGGAACAGUGCGUGCAGGCAGAGAGGUGUGGAGGCCUGUGGCGUGUUCUGGAAUCUGUGGAAUCAGGGUGUACCUGUGGAUUUAUGGGAUGUGGGAUGCCGGAUAAGGUGGGGCCUGACUAUACCACACUGAGGAGUUGGGACUGAAUCCUUUUGAGUAGGGAGAGCCCACGAGGAAGGGAAACACUUGUGGUGGUUUGUGUGUUGCUGUUCUUAUGCUGACAUCCUCGAGGCUCAGGAGAGCCAGAGGGGAUUUCAGAUUUCAUCAGUUCUCC
RNAcentral lists this long non-coding RNA (1102 nucleotides) under Homo sapiens (human). Its description in RNAcentral is "HSALNT0406056". The record is from RNAcentral. Lineage: Eukaryota; Metazoa; Chordata; Mammalia; Primates; Hominidae.